AGUGACUCGGGCUUUUUCUUGCACAGCCCAGACCAUCAGACUACCAUUGUUCUUCUCUCUUAGCGUUGCCAGAUAAAAUACAGGAUUACCCACUUAAAUGUUAUUUCAGAUAAAAAACAAAUGAUUGGGAUAAUUAUGUCCCAAGUGUUGCUUUGGUAAAUAUGACAACCCUAUCUUGUCUGCCAUUCGAUUCCUUUCUUGUCUCCAACUCAAUGCCAUGCUCCACUCUGCAUAACUCUCAUUCUCCCUGUGCAUUAACGUUGAGGAUUAAAGUACAGACAAGUUUUCCCCUGGAGAAGGCUUCACAAGUGAGAGUCGCCGCCUUCAUUGUAAAACCUUUUAUUUUCCUGAUUUGCCUUUGGUCUUUUGCUGUUGGGACAAGGAGCUCUCGGGGUACACACAUAUUUCAUUCCAUUAAUUUGCCUCCUUGUAGCUCUUCCCUUUGGUUUCUUCAGAGUCCCUUAUUUAAAAACUGCUAGGUGGAUGGUAAGUGAACAUGUUAUAUAGUAAACUGCAUAUUUAAAGACACAUUUGUAUUAUUUUGUCAGCACUAUAAUCAAACCAAAUACCAUGGAAAUAUGUUUACAAGUAUCUGGGUGGGAAACAAUUUCCAAAUAUAAAUGCUACUUGAAAACCUGGAGUCAAGAAGGUACAAUUUCAUUAAUGCAUUCUCAAAAAUCUCUCCUUAAACACUUCUCUCUCUCUCUCUCUCUCCCUCUCUCUCUCCCACUCUCUCUCUUUCUCUCUCUCUCUCUCCCUUCUCUUUAUAAAGGCCUGGCUACUGUGGAACUUGGAACUUGCUAUGCAAACCAGGCUAGCCUCAAAUUCCAAUGUCCCCCUGUCCUUGCCUCUGGAUUGCUGGAAUUAAAAGCAGGCAUAACUACACCAGGCUCAUUUUCAAACCUUUUACACAAGGCAGGUAAGUAAUCUUGAAUUAAUUCUGUAGAAGCAUUAUAAACUAAUGAGAGAUGUCAUG
RNAcentral lists this long non-coding RNA (976 nucleotides) under Mus musculus (house mouse). RNAcentral's name for it is "long non-coding RNA chrX:104413991-104414967". The record is from RNAcentral. Lineage: Eukaryota; Metazoa; Chordata; Mammalia; Rodentia; Muridae.